GACCCUCUUAUCAACAUAGAGAAGGUGGCGCAGAGACUCAAACGUCGGGUGAUCAAGUCAGAAAAGAAGCUAAGAGCCAUCAGGAUGGGUUUUUAGAACCUGGACCUUUCAAUCUAUGUUGUAUUCUGCUCCUUUUUGCUUUGCCGUGGCUGCAGAAGCUAGGUGCAAUUGUAUAAUUAGCUUCCUCUUUAAACCAAGACUUGCCAAACUAAGAGCCAUCAGGAUGGGGUUUUAAAACCUGGGCAUUUCAAUCUAUGUUGUAUUCUGCUCCUUUUGCUUGCCGUGGCUGCAGAAGCUAGAUGCAAUUUUAUAAUUAGCUUCCUCUUUAAACCAAGACUUGCCAAGCUAUGUGUGUAAGAAGUAAUGUUUCUUAUGUUAUAAGUAUUUAUUACGUAUGCAAUUCAUGCUUCUAUGGACACGUGCUCAACAUCUGCCGUUUAAUAUAUUCC
This 449-nucleotide long non-coding RNA is filed under the name Triticum aestivum (bread wheat). RNAcentral's name for it is "long non-coding RNA (TAES_LNC004513)". The record is from RNAcentral. Lineage: Eukaryota; Viridiplantae; Streptophyta; Magnoliopsida; Poales; Poaceae.